This 408-nucleotide ribosomal RNA is filed under the name uncultured bacterium. Its description in RNAcentral is "partial 16S ribosomal RNA". It matches the Rfam family "Bacterial small subunit ribosomal RNA", at positions 28 to 526 of the family's 1533-position model. The record is from RNAcentral.
GACGAACGCUGGCGGCGUGCUUAACACAUGCAAGUCGAACGAAGUGGCGAACGGGUGAGUAACGCGUAAUCAACCUGCCCUUCAGAGGGGGACAACAGUUGGAAACGACUGCUAAUACCGCAUACGGAAGUGGUGGAUUGCGUCGGAUUAGCUAGUUGGCGGGGUAACGGCCCACCAGGGCGAUGAUCAGUCGCCGGUCUGAGGGGAUGAACGGCCACAUUGGGACUGAGAAACGGCCCCGACUCCUACGGGAGGCAGCAGUGGGGAAACUUCCGCAAUGGACGAAAGUCUGACGGAGCACCGCCGCGUGAGUGAUGACGGGCUUCGGGUUGUAAAGCUCUGUUAAUCGGGACGCGGUACCGGAAGAGAAAGCAACGGCUAACUACGUGCCAGCAGCCGCGGUAAUAC